This is a long non-coding RNA of Ornithodoros turicata, 425 nucleotides long. RefSeq lists it as uncharacterized. Lineage: Eukaryota; Metazoa; Arthropoda; Arachnida; Ixodida; Argasidae. The transcript has 3 exons. The record is from RefSeq and is a predicted model, not a curated record.
AGAGCCACGUCCUAUUUAUUCCCAGGCCGUAGUACGUCUGAAACGGUAGUCAAGGAGGAGAGAUCAUGAAGAUGUCUAUAGUCGUAGUUGUAGCCCUCAUUGUCAUGGGCUCCGGUAUCGAUUUGUCAAUUGGAUGCUCAUGCAACGAUACUGGGUGCACGUACCACGAAGCUGUAGUCGGGAAUGUGUGGUGCUCUGGAGCCAGCUGUUAUAUACAGAAACAAGGGCUCCGGUCCUGCUGCAAAAGAACCCCUGGAUAACGUGGACAAAGCUCCUCACGAAACUUCUUCAGCAGAAGAGGCACCAGUGUUUCUAGGAUCGUCCACGGCUCCAUACGCAAUAUAAUGGAAAGACAAAAUGUUUACGCAGUUAAAUAUGCAUAUCGCAAGACAAUAAAGGUAUUAAAGACGAACUAUUGUAUCCAA